CCUGAAAAUGCUAAAAUCAUUUAAUUAGAUCUCCAUUCACAGUCAAUCUUUUAGUGGAGCAUGAAUAUAUGAACAAAGCAUGAAGCUAAGAACAAUAAAAGGAGAGAAUCCAAAUCCAAUUUAUUAUGUUACUUUGUUUGAGACUUAAAUUUUGUAAUUAUUUUUGUUCUUUGAUUUUUUUUAUAGGUGAGCCUCACUUCUUUCAAGGAUCUUACUUGUGUUUCACAAAGAUGCAGGUGUUGCUUCUACAUUUAUAACUCCCUGAUAUUCUCUAAUAGGAUUGGACUAGAAGAUGUUUACCUGCAAAGGAAGGAAGGAGCAACAGGAUUUAAGAAGAGCAUACACUACCAAUGAAGCCUACACCACCAAUAAAGGAAAUCAUUUCAACAGCAACUACUUAGAAAACUUGAAGGGAGUGAAGCAGUGCUGCCAUAUCAAGCUGGGCUUCAAGGACUAUUUGGGAAUAACAAUUACUCAUCUCCUACUGCUGUGGAAUUACCUCAACAGUCUCGAAAAUUUAGUGAUUUAGCUCAGCACCGACCCAACCAGGGUCAAGGCAUUGAGCAACAAAUGCUAAAUCCUGUUCAACAAGCUUACUAUCAAUAUGCUCUCCAGAGUUCUCAACAAAAGUCUGCUUUGGCAAUGCAGAAACCUAAAAUGGAAAUGUUAGUCCCCACAUCUGUUAAGGGUCAAGAAAUGCGAAUGGGGAAUUUUAAAUUGCA
Molecule: long non-coding RNA, 722 nt
Organism: Trifolium pratense (red clover)
Lineage: Eukaryota; Viridiplantae; Streptophyta; Magnoliopsida; Fabales; Fabaceae
Exons: 4
Source: RefSeq, a predicted model, not a curated record